AGGACGAACGCUGGCGGCGUGCCUAAUACAUGCAAGUCGAGCGGACCGGAUCGGGGCUUGCCUUGAUUCGGUCAGCGGCGGACGGGUGAGUAACACGUGGGCAACCUGCCCGCAAGACCGGGAUAACUCCGGGAAACCGGAGCUAAUACCGGAUAACACCGAAGACCGCAUGGUCUUUGGUUGAAAGACGGCCUUUGGGCUGUCACUUGCGGAUGGGCCCGCGGCGCAUUAGCUAGUUGGUGAGGUAACGGCUCACCAAGGCGACGAUGCGUAGCCGGCCUGAGAGGGUGACCGGCCACACUGGGACUGAGACACGGCCCAGACUCCUACGGGAGGCAGCAGUAGGGAAUCUUCCGCAAUGGACGAAAGUCUGACGGAGCGACGCCGCGUGUGC
Molecule: ribosomal RNA, 394 nt
Filed under: uncultured bacterium
Lineage: Bacteria
Description: bacterial SSU rRNA
Rfam family: Bacterial small subunit ribosomal RNA
Source: RNAcentral